Molecule: transfer RNA, 56 nt
Filed under: Leptodeira polysticta
Lineage: Eukaryota; Metazoa; Chordata; Lepidosauria; Squamata; Dipsadidae
Description: tRNA-Ser
Source: RNAcentral
GAGGAGGUUUUAAGACCUGCUAACUCUUUAAUCUGGGACUAAACCCCAGCCCCCUC